AUGAACUUGUUUCCACUCUACAAGAUGUAAAGACAUUCCCAUACUUACUUGUUUUCCAAAUCUUACAUGUUUAUUGCACUAAUGAAUGUCAGAAGGUAUCCGGUUACUCAAACAAGAUCCAUGUGCUAUUAAUGACUUCAAAACGUUUCAUUGAUAUACCAAUAAGUUCCUACUUCAUUGUUAUGGCAUUGAUGACUCCAAAACACUUCAUUGAUGUGCCAAUGAGUUUUUACUUCAUUAUUAUUGCAUU
Molecule: long non-coding RNA, 250 nt
Filed under: Capsicum annuum
Lineage: Eukaryota; Viridiplantae; Streptophyta; Magnoliopsida; Solanales; Solanaceae
Description: long non-coding RNA (CANN_LNC021595)
Source: RNAcentral